Molecule: ribosomal RNA, 399 nt
Filed under: uncultured bacterium
Lineage: Bacteria
Description: bacterial SSU rRNA
Rfam family: Bacterial small subunit ribosomal RNA
Source: RNAcentral
GGGGAAUAUUGCACAAUGGAGGAAACUCUGAUGCAGCGACGCCGCGUGAACGAUGAAGGCCUUCGGGUCGUAAAGUUCUGUCCUAGGGGACGAUAAUGACGGUACCCUAGGAGGAAGCCCCGGCUAACUACGUGCCAGCAGCCGCGGUAAUACGUAGGGGGCGAGCGUUGUCCGGAAUUAUUGGGCGUAAAGGGUUCGUAGGCGGUUAUUUAAGUCAGGUGUGAAAGGCGCAGGCUCAACCUGUGUAAGCACUUGAAACUGGGUAACUUGAGUUAAGGAGAGGAAAGUGGAAUUCCUAGUGUAGCGGUGAAAUGCGUAGAUAUUAGGAGGAAUACCAGUGGCGAAGGCGACUUUCUGGACUUAUACUGACGCUGAGGAACGAAAGCGUGGGGAGCAAAC